This 483-nucleotide ribosomal RNA is filed under the name uncultured bacterium. RNAcentral describes it as "partial 16S ribosomal RNA". It matches the Rfam family "Bacterial small subunit ribosomal RNA", at positions 29 to 507 of the family's 1533-position model. The record is from RNAcentral.
AUUGAACGCUGGCGGCAUGCUUUACACAUGCAAGUCGAACGGCAGCGCGGGCUUCGGCCUGGCGGCGAGUGGCGAACGGGUGAGUAAUACAUCGGAACGUGCCCAGUAGUGGGGGAUAGCUCGCGAAAGCCGGAUUAAUACCGCAUACGACCUGAGGGUGAAAGCGGGGGAUCUUCGGACCUCGCGCUAUUGGAGCGGCCGAUGGCAGAUUAGCUAGUUGGUGGGGUAAAGGCCUACCAAGGCGACGAUCUGUAGCUGGUCUGAGAGGACGACCAGCCACACUGGGACUGAGACACGGCCCAGACUCCUACGGGAGGCAGCAGUGGGGAAUUUUGGACAAUGGGCGAAAGCCUGAUCCAGCAAUGCCGCGUGUGUGAUGAAGGCCUUCGGGUUGUAAAGCACUUUUGGCGGGAACGAAAAGGACUGUGCCAAUACCACGGUUCGAUGACGGUACCCGCGGAAUAAGCACCGGCUAACUACGUG